Molecule: ribosomal RNA, 300 nt
Filed under: uncultured Desulfurococcus sp.
Lineage: Archaea; Thermoproteati; Thermoproteota; Thermoprotei; Desulfurococcales; Desulfurococcaceae
Description: bacterial SSU rRNA
Rfam family: Bacterial small subunit ribosomal RNA
Source: RNAcentral
GUCGUGCGCGUGAAGGCGUGUGCGGUAACACGUAGGGUGGAGUGUGUGUUCGGGAUGUUGGGGCGUAAAGAGGUCGUUGGCGGGUGGGUGCGUCUGCGGGGAAAGCCCGGGGCUUAACCCGGGGCUUGCAGGGGGUACGGACAGACGAGAGGGAGGUAGGGGAGCAUGGAAUUCCCGGUGUAGCGGUGAAAUGCGCAGAGAUCGGGAGGAACACCGGUGGCGAAGGCGGUUCUCUGGGCCUGACCUGACGCUGAGGAGCGAAAGCGUGGGGAGCGAACAGGAUUAGAUACCCUUGUAGUC